AAUUCUCAACCGUCCUUUGAUUUAUUUCGAGGGAUGGCUUGAUUUUGGGAGUUGCUGGCUGACCCUCGGGACGGUCGGCUCUCCUUAAAAGCAUUAGCGAAAGGUGACAAGCCCUGCAUGCACGGCCUUCGACGUGAUAAUGAUCGUCGUGGCUGGAGUGUGAGGCGUAGAUAGUCCAUUUUUUGCUUCCAAAAACAUCGGUAUUUUGGGGAGUUUGCUUCGGCGGACGAACCUUUUUGCCCUUUUUGAC
RNAcentral lists this unclassified non-coding RNA (250 nucleotides) under Melanogaster luteus. RNAcentral describes it as "partial internal transcribed spacer 2". The record is from RNAcentral. Lineage: Eukaryota; Fungi; Basidiomycota; Agaricomycetes; Boletales; Melanogastraceae.